Molecule: ribosomal RNA, 460 nt
Filed under: uncultured bacterium
Lineage: Bacteria
Description: partial 16S ribosomal RNA
Rfam family: Bacterial small subunit ribosomal RNA
Source: RNAcentral
CCUACGGGAGGCUGCAGUGAGGAAUAUUGGUCAAUGGGCGGGAGCCUGAACCAGUCAAGUCGCGUGAGGGACGACGGUCCUAUGGAUCGUAAACCUCUUUUGUCGGGGAACAAAGGCGCCCACGGGUGGGCGGAUGAGUGUACCCGAAGAAAAAGCAUCGGCUAACUCCGUGCCAGCAGCCGCGGUAAUACGGAGGAUGCGAGCGUUAUCCGGAAUCAUUGGGCGUAAAGAGUUCGUAGGCGGCAUGUAAAGUCAGGUGUUAAAGGCGCAGGCUCAACCUGUGUAUGGCACUUGAUACUUGCAAGCUGGAAUGCGGUAGAGGUAAAGGGAAUUCCUGGUGUAGCGGUGAAAUGCUUAGAUAUCAGGAGGAACAUCGGUGGCGUAAGCGCUUUACUGGGCCGUAAUUGACGCUGAGGAACGAAAGCCAGGGUAGCAAAUGGGAUUAGAUACCCCUGUAGUC